RNAcentral lists this ribosomal RNA (253 nucleotides) under uncultured bacterium. RNAcentral's name for it is "partial 16S ribosomal RNA". It matches the Rfam family "Bacterial small subunit ribosomal RNA", at positions 524 to 776 of the family's 1533-position model. The record is from RNAcentral.
UACGGAGGAGGCAAGCGUUAUCCGGAAUGAUUGGGCGUAAAGGGUCCGCAGGUGGCAGUGUAAGUCUGCUGUCAAAGAAUGAGGCUUAACCUCAUCAAGGCAGUGGGAACUACACAGCUAGAGUACGGUCGGGGUAGAAGGAAUUCCUGGUGUAGCGGUGAAAUGCGUAGAGAUCAGGAAGAACACCGGUGGCGAAAGCGUUCUGCUAGACCUGUACUGACACUGAGGGACGAAAGCUAGGGGAGCGAAUGGG